Molecule: ribosomal RNA, 274 nt
Filed under: uncultured bacterium
Lineage: Bacteria
Description: partial 16S ribosomal RNA
Rfam family: Bacterial small subunit ribosomal RNA
Source: RNAcentral
AUACGGAGGGUGCAAACGUUAUUCGGAAUCACUGGGCGUAAAGGACGCGUAGGCGGGUUGGCAAGUCAGAUGUGAAAUCCUACAGCUUAACUGUAGAACUGCAUUUGAAACUGCUAACCUAGAGUAUGGGAGGGGGAGAUGGAAUUAGUGGUGUAGGGGUAAAAUCCGUAGAUAUCACUAGGAAUACCGAAAGCGAAGGCGAUCUCCUGGAACAUAACUGACGCUAAGGCGUGAAAGCGUGGGGAGCAAACAGGAUUAGAAACCCUAGUAGUCC